Molecule: long non-coding RNA, 777 nt
Organism: Austrofundulus limnaeus
Lineage: Eukaryota; Metazoa; Chordata; Actinopteri; Cyprinodontiformes; Rivulidae
Exons: 2
Source: RefSeq, a predicted model, not a curated record
GGAGGUCAGACAGGUAAGGAGGGGAAAGAUUGUGGAUAGCUUUGAAGGUGUGUAGGAAAAUUUUAAAGAUGAUGCRGGAUUUAACUGGGAGCCAGUGGAGCUGUUGUAGGACUGGAGUGAUGUGGGCAGAGGAUGAGGUUUGAGUGAUUACACGGGCUGCUGAGUUCUGAACCAUCUGUAGUUUGUGAAGGAAUUUGUUGGUGAGGCCAAACAGUAGGGAGUUGCAGUAGUCGAUCCUGGAUGUUACCAGGCUGUGUACAAAGAUGGCAGUGGAGCAGGGAGUGAGUGAAGGACGGAGACGGUUAAUGUUGCGAAGAUGAAAGUAUGCAGAUCGAGUCACGUUGUUAAUGUAGGAUGUGAAAGAGAGUGUGGUGUCAAGGAUGACACCUAGGUUCUUGACCUGAGGUGAGGGGGAAAGAACAGAGUUGUUAAGAGUGAAGAGAAGAUGUUGGGAUUUGGAAAUGGAGUUUUUUGUCCCAACAAGUAGGAGUUCAGUUUUGUUAUGGUUUAGUUGGAGGAAAUUGUUAGAGAACCAGUUGGGGGCGGCUAUGGUGUAGUGGUAGAGCAGCCGGCUUGGGACCCGAAAGUCUUAGGUUCGACUCCCUGUCAUGCCCACAUGUCGUGGUGUCCUUGAGCAAGACACCCAACCCUAACUGCUCCUUGGGCAUCUCACAUGGAUGCCUGCUGCUCCAUUUGGGUGUGGAUGGGUCAAAUGCAGAGCACAAAUUUCGUCAUUGUGUGGAAACUUACACUGAUGACCAAUUAAGCACCUUUGUU